AGAAGUGUAAGCUAACCAAAGCUAUUGGGCCCAUACCCCAAAAAUGAAGACUAACUCCUUCCACUCCUACCA
This 72-nucleotide transfer RNA is filed under the name Alligator mississippiensis (American alligator). The record is from RNAcentral. Lineage: Eukaryota; Metazoa; Chordata; Crocodylia; Alligatoridae.